This is an unclassified non-coding RNA of Clupea harengus (Atlantic herring), 299 nucleotides long. It matches the Rfam family "Metazoan signal recognition particle RNA". From Rfam's summary of the family: The signal recognition particle (SRP) is a universally conserved ribonucleoprotein. The record is from Ensembl. Lineage: Eukaryota; Metazoa; Chordata; Actinopteri; Clupeiformes; Clupeidae.
GCCGGGUGCAGUGGCGUGCGCCUGUAAUCCAAGCUACUGGGAGGCUGAGACUGGCGGACCGUUUGAGCUCAGGGGUUCUGGGCUGUAGCGGACUAUGCCGAUCGGGUGUCCGCACUAAGUUCGGUAUCGAUAUGGUGCUCCUGGGGGAGCCCGGGACCACCAGGUUGUCUAAGGAGGGGUGCAUCGACCCAGGCCGGAAACGGAGCAGGUCAAAGCCCCCGUGCCGAUCAGUAGUGGGAUCGCGCCUGUGAAUAGACGCUGCAGUGCAGCCUGAGCAAAAUAGCGGGACCCAGUCUUUU